Molecule: long non-coding RNA, 1821 nt
Filed under: Macaca mulatta (Rhesus monkey)
Lineage: Eukaryota; Metazoa; Chordata; Mammalia; Primates; Cercopithecidae
Description: lncRNA (ENSMMUG00000054862.1)
Source: RNAcentral
AUGCUGUAUGCAGGUCUCUUACCUGUAGUUCUCCGCACUGGAGCUGCACGAGCUUCACAUUCCAACUGUCCAGCCAUGCAUGACAUCCCCUUCACAGAGGCUCAUCAUGCGUGCGAAGAUCAGGCAAAACAUCUUUCAAAUAUCCCUAGGUCAGCUUGCUUGUACACACUCUCUCUCUAUUUCCCUCUCUCCUCCUGUCUAUCCUUUCUUGUGAGGGCAUGGAGAGCCACCCAAAAGCAGCAGCCCGCUGUGCUAAGUGGAGAGAAGGUUCCAGCUGCUAGAAGACGUUGGCUUUGAUUUCUACUCUGUCUCUUACUAUAGUUGUGUAACCUUAGAGAAGUUCCUUUACUCUUUGAGCUGAUGUCAUGCCCAUCUAUAAAACUGGGGUGAAGAUUCCAAUUUUCCAACAUUCUAAAGCUUUUAAAGACCAACAGAGAUCAUAUUGCAGAAUGCAGAGCUGGAGGUGGAGAUGGAGAGGGGAGAUUGGCCAGCACCUGCAAAGGCCUUGAGGUGAGAUGUGCAAAGGUGAUAGCGAGUUUAGAUGAAACGGGUAAUCUGGGGUCAAAAUAACGAAAAUCAGUCUAGUUCACAUUUGGGAUUUUCAUCUUUAUCUUGAGAGCUGUAAGAAGACCUUGAACUAUUUUAAAAAUGACAAAGAGGCUUGAGAUCGUCAGGUUUGUGUUUUGAGAUCAUUCUUGUGAAGAAAAGUUCCAGGGUUCCAUGUGUCCUUUGUAUCUUGGUGGCUCUCACAUCUUUAGCUCUGGCUCACACCUUUAUUCCAAGUUUCAUACAUGUAUAUUCAACUGUCUAUAGCACAACUCUCACGAUUGUUUCCCAAGCACUCAAACCCAGCAUGUAUCAAACUGAACUCUAGUUCUUCCUCCCCAAAGCUGACUCUCCUCCACUGUCCCCUCCACACUGUAUUUCUUUUAAAUGGAAACUGUAGCAGAAACUGCUAGUUGCCUCUUCCUUCUCCCUUAGAAAUGGAAUCUUGUGUAAUACGCCUAGUAAAACAUUAUGUUUCUCCGUUUCCCAGACUGUCCCACAGCUGGAAGUGACUGAGUUGUAGCUGAUGAGAUGUAAGUGGAAGCUUUACUUCCAGUAAAGCUCCUUAAAGGGGCUCCAUUUUGCACUUCCACUUACUCUCUUUCUUAUACCCUGAAACAUAGGUGUGAUGGCUGGAAUUCCUGCAGCCACCUUGGACCCUGAGGAGAGAACAAAUGUGGCAGAGUGGUUGAAUAGAUAGAACCAAGUAUUGAAGAGCUUCUAAACAGACUUGGACUAUCUACCAUCAGAUGACUUUCACCCGAGGAAAAACAAAUUCUUCUUGCUGUUUAAGUCAUUAUAAUUGGAUUUCUUGUUCCUCACAGCUGAAACUAAUCCUAAGUGAUAGGAUUCUGGGAAUCCUUCCCUAAAUCUACUCUUACACAAAGUUCUGCAUUCUGGCUAUCUCUUCAAUACAUCUCCUUCUUUUAUCCUUGUCUGAGCCAGAUCAUCUUUUGCUGGCGUGAUUGUAACAACCUCCUCACUUCCCCUGUUUUCAAGCCCCUCCUCACCAAUGCCCACGCUCAAAGAAUUUCCACCUUUUAGUUAAAAAGACAUUCUAGAACUCAAUUAUGACUCUGCUACUUCUAGGGGAAUCAUGGAAUUACAGGCACUGAAAAGGUAGAGCUUAAAGGGCCCUUAAAGGUCAUUUAAUUUUGAAUUUCUUACUUGUUGGUUUGGCUUGAUUAAAAAAAAAAAAAAGCAAAUGGAGUUUUCCACGGGCCUCUUGUGAUUGUAUACAAAUUAUUCGAUAUAUAAAAUACAGAAGGCUGUGCA